Molecule: ribosomal RNA, 490 nt
Filed under: uncultured bacterium
Lineage: Bacteria
Description: partial 16S ribosomal RNA
Rfam family: Bacterial small subunit ribosomal RNA
Source: RNAcentral
AGUGAACGCUGGCGGUAGGCCUAACACAUGCAAGUCGAACGGCAGCACAGGAGAGCUUGCUCUCUAGGUGGCGAGUGGCGGACGGGUGAGGAAUACAUCGGAAUCUGCCCAGUCGUGGGGGAUAACGCAGGGAAACUUACGCUAAUACCGCAUACGACCUUCGGGUGAAAGAGGGGGAUCGCAAGACCUCUCGCGAUUGGAUGAGCCGAUGUCGGAUUAGCUAGUUAGCGGGGUAAUGGCCCACCAAGGCGACGAUCCGUAGCUGGUCUGAGAGGAUGAUCAGCCACACUGGAACUGAGACACGGUCCAGACUCCUACGGGAGGCAGCAGUGGGGAAUAUUGGACAAUGGGCGCAAGCCUGAUCCAGCCAUACCGCGUGGGUGAAGAAGGCCUUCGGGUUGUAAAGCCCUUUUGUUGGGAAAGAAAUCUUUCAGGCUAAUACCCUGGGAGGAUGACGGUACCCAAAGAAUAAGCACCGGCUAACUUCGUG